RNAcentral lists this ribosomal RNA (542 nucleotides) under uncultured bacterium. RNAcentral describes it as "bacterial SSU rRNA". It matches the Rfam family "Bacterial small subunit ribosomal RNA", at positions 969 to 1506 of the family's 1533-position model. The record is from RNAcentral.
CCUUCCCCAGGUUUGACAUGCACGGGAAACCCUCUUGAAAGAGGGGGCCUCCUUCGGGACCCGUGGACAGGUGCUGCAUGGCUGUCGUCAGCUCGUGUCGUGAGAUGUUGGGUUAAGUCCCGCAACGAGCGCAACCCUUGCCCCGUGUUGCUAACAGGUAAUGCUGAGGACUCUCGGGGGACUGCCGGCGUCAAGCCGGAGGAAGGUGGGGACGACGUCAAGUCAUCAUGGCCCUUACGCCUGGGGCUACACACGUGCUACAAUGGCCAGGACAGAGGGCUGCAAGGCUACAAAGUGGAGCGAAUCCCAUAAACCUGGUCCAAGUUCGGAUUGCGGGCUGCAACUCGCCCGCAUGAAGCCGGAAUCGCUAGUAAUCGCGGAUCAGCUACGCCGCGGUGAAUACGUUCCCGGGCCUUGUACACACCGCCCGUCACGCCAUGGAAGCCGGUAGUGCCCGAAGUCCGUGUCCUAACCCGCAAGGGAGGGAGCGGCCGAAGGCAAGAUCGGUGACUGGGGCGAAGUCGUAACAAGGUAACCAAGGG